Molecule: small RNA, 816 nt
Filed under: Pan troglodytes (chimpanzee)
Lineage: Eukaryota; Metazoa; Chordata; Mammalia; Primates; Hominidae
Description: processed transcript
Source: RNAcentral
GAAGAGGAAACGUGAGAAUGAAAGUGGAUGCCCGCGAAUCCCGGAAGUCAGGCUGUUUUUUUCAGUUCCCUGGAGGCUUUUUGAUACUGAUUCGCGUACACCUGUUGUUUGAAAGCUCUCAGCGGGACAAUGCUGACCCAGCUGAAAGCAAAAUCAGAGGGGAAGCUUGCAAAACAGAUUUGCAAAGUUGUGUUGGAUCAUUUUGAAAAACAGUAUUCCAAAGAACUCGGAGAUGCCUGGAAUACAGUAAGAUAAUUUCUUCUCAUCCUUCAAGAUUUAACAUAUUGGAUAAUAUACAAAAGCUAAUGUUGUUCCUGAAUUAGUAAUCCUCUUAAACAAUAAGCUUAAAAGGAAACAUGCAGGAUUUAACCUUUCUAAGAGAUAGGAAAGAAAAUGUGAAUAAAUGGAGAAACAUAUUGUGAUCAGGAUUGGAAAAAUUGACUGCAAUAAAGAUGUGAAAUCUCUCCAAGUUUAAAGCAUUUAAUAUAAUCCUAGGCAAGGUUACUAUAUCUCUACCUGUCUACAUACACAAAUAUUGUAUAAAUUAUGUUUAACUGAACUUUUAUUCCAAAGUUCAUCUGAAAGAAUAAACAUUCAAGAUAGCUUUGAAAAUUCUGAAGAAAAAUAGAAGAACGAAUAGAGAUUUGUCCUGUCUGAUGUUAACUAAUUGAAAGUGUUCUACUCCUUUUUAGCUGAUGGGUAGGCACAUGAUGCAAGCCAAGCCGCUCCUUCUGUAUAACUGUGUUUCUGAUCAUUUUUUUAUUACACAUGACUCAACACUGGAUAGAUUUUUCAGCCUGUUUGGAGGUAAGAUUA